UACGAAGGGUGCAAGCGUUAAUCGGAAUUACUGGGCGUAAAGCGCGCGUAGGUGGUUCAGCAAGUUGGAUGUGAAAUCCCCGGGCUCAACCUGGGAACUGCAUCCAAAACUACUGAGCUAGAGUACGGUAGAGGGUGGUGGAAUUUCCUGUGUAGCGGUGAAAUGCGUAGAUAUAGGAAGGAACACCAGUGGCGAAGGCGACCACCUGGACUGAUACUGACACUGAGGUGCGAAAGCGUGGGGAGCAAACAGG
This 253-nucleotide ribosomal RNA is filed under the name uncultured bacterium. RNAcentral's name for it is "partial 16S ribosomal RNA". It matches the Rfam family "Bacterial small subunit ribosomal RNA", at positions 524 to 776 of the family's 1533-position model. The record is from RNAcentral. RNAcentral also lists the same sequence under 2 other names.